RNAcentral lists this ribosomal RNA (483 nucleotides) under uncultured bacterium. RNAcentral describes it as "partial 16S ribosomal RNA". It matches the Rfam family "Bacterial small subunit ribosomal RNA", at positions 30 to 506 of the family's 1533-position model. The record is from RNAcentral.
AUUGAACGCUGGCGGCAGGCCUAACACAUGCAAGUCGAGCGGAUGAAGGGAGCUUGCUCCUGGAUUCAGCGGCGGACGGGUGAGUAAUGCCUAGGAAUCUGCCUGGUAGUGGGGGAUAACGUCCGGAAACGGGCGCUAAUACCGCAUACGUCCUGAGGGAGAAAGUGGGGGAUCUUCGGACCUCACGCUAUCAGAUGAGCCUAGGUCGGAUUAGCUAGUUGGUGGGGUAAAGGCCUACCAAGGCGACGGUCCGUAACUGGUCUGAGAGGAUGAUCAGUCACAGUGGAACGGAGACACGGUCCAAACCCCUACGGGGGGCAGCGGUGGGAAAUUUUGAAAAAGGGGGGAAACCCUGACCCAGCCAGGCGGGGUGUGGAAAGAAGGUCUUCGGUUUGAAAAGCACUUUAAGUGGGGAGGAAGGGAAGUAAGUUAAUACCUUGUUGUUUUGACGUUCCCAAAAGAAAAAGCCCCGGUUACUUUCGU